UCCGGUUUGACACCGGCAGUCUCCCUAGAGUGCCCGGCAUAACCCGCUGGUCAGUAGCGGUUCAAGCCCAGGUAAGGUUCUUCGCGUUGCGUCGAAUUGAACCACAUGUUCCACCGCUUGUGCGGGCCCCCGUCAAUUCCUUUGAGUUUCAGUCUUGCGACCGUACUCCCCAGGCGCAGGACUUAACGCGUUAGCUACGGGACGCACCCCGUCGGGAUGCACCCCAAGUCCUGAUCGUUUAGGGCUAGGACUAC
RNAcentral lists this unclassified non-coding RNA (254 nucleotides) under uncultured Terriglobia bacterium. Its description in RNAcentral is "uncultured Acidobacteriia bacterium contains 16S-23S intergenic spacer region". The record is from RNAcentral. Lineage: Bacteria; Pseudomonadati; Acidobacteriota; Terriglobia.